GACGGGGCAGGUUCAGGCCCCUCCCAUCAGGCGGCCAGCGCGAGCGGUAGAGGCGGGUCUGGAGGCGGGGCCUGCGUGGAGCCAGACGGCGCGGCUGCUGCCGGGGGCGGGGCCGACGGGCUGUGGCCCCGCCCUUGGCCGCCAUUGCCGGGUCUGCCUGGCCGCUCUGCGCAGCGACCUUGCCUCCUCUUGCCGGGCGGAGCGGCUCAGCGGGCCUGACAGGGAGCCUUCCUGACCGAGCCCACGUCUCCCCACGGCCAGACAAGUCUCCGGCCCGGCCCGCGUCGCCAGUCCCCAGGCUUGGAGGAACGGCCCGAGCCCAGGAGAACCACCUCUACGUCCCAGCCCCGGAGGCUCCUGUGGGCAAGAUCGUGAGCCAACGGGUUCCUGAGGCCCCUCCCGGCCAGGCAGGGUUUCUCCGCGCGUUUCCGAGGAGCCCUGCCUGGCCGGGCGGCUGGACAAACAGUGCACUUGCCGGCGGUCCCAACCCAGCAGGAGGAGAGUGGACAUGAGGUUGGCAGGUGGGUGGCUUCCGCAGCGAACGGGAGGGAGUUGAAAAGGGCACCUGGAUGGAGGCCCAGCGUUCCGACAUCUGUGUCUGGAGAGGCGCGGGUGGACCACUGGGUUUGGUUUUGGAAAUUUCGGAGGACUCUGUACAAACACUCAUUCCUUGACCUUAAGCAAAUCCUUUCACCUCUGAGGACAUCAGCUCCCCGAGAUAUGACAGGAGGAUUAGUAUAGUCAGUAUCUCCCAAUGCAGGUAGUAGACCAGCUGCUUUUUGGAAAAUGAGCGGUGAGAGAGAGGAGGUGAGGAGUCCAGGUGGAGAGGCGUGAUCUUAGAGGGGAAGUGACAAAAGUGGCUGUGGGCUUCAACAUGAACCCGAUGACAGCCCUACUGUCACCUGGACAACUAAGAUGAAGAUCCUUGGGGAGGGAUAGGUUGGGGCGGGGUGGAGAGUGGAAAGAACUCAGGAAUUGAACUUCAGACUUGCUAAGGUGGUAACUUUGUGGACAUAUCCAAGUGGAGCUGGCCAGUGAGGAACCAGCUGGCAGGGAGUGGUUUCAAGAGAGGCCACAGCUGGAACUAGAAAAUAGGAAGUCAUUGACACAUGGUGGUUAAUUAAACAGCUGGGAAUAGAUGACAUCAUCUAAAAAGACACUACAGGCUGGGCGCGGUGACUCACAUCUGUAAUCCCAGCAGUUUGGGAGGCCGAGGCGGGCAGAUCACUUGAAGUCAGGAGUUUGAGACCAGCCUGGCCAACAUGGUGAAUCCCCAUCUCUACUUAAAAAAUACAAAAAAAUUAGCGGGGCGUGGUGGUGGGUGCUUGUAAUCCCAGCUACCCGGGAGGCUGAGGUUGCAGUGAGCCGAGAUUGUGCCACUGCACACUCCAGCCUGGGCGACAGAGCGAGACUCCGUCUCAAAAAAAUAAAAAUAAAAAGACAACUGGGCGCA
This 1453-nucleotide long non-coding RNA is filed under the name Piliocolobus tephrosceles (Ugandan red Colobus). RNAcentral describes it as "lncRNA (ENSPTEG00000011250.1)". Lineage: Eukaryota; Metazoa; Chordata; Mammalia; Primates; Cercopithecidae. The record is from RNAcentral.